GACGUAGGUGGCGAACGUUAUCCGGAAUCAUUGGGCGUAAAGGGUGCGUAGAUGGCAUGAUAAGUUAUUAGUGGGAGAUCGAGGCUCAACCUCGUGGAAGCUAGUAAUACUGUUUUGCUUGAGUACAGAAGAGGUUAACGGAACUCCAUGUGGAGCGGUAAAAUGCGUAGAUAUAUGGAAGAACACCAAUAACGGCGAAGGCAGUUAACUAUUCUGUUACUGACAUUGAGGCACGAAAGCGUGGGGAGCAAAACGG
Molecule: ribosomal RNA, 256 nt
Filed under: uncultured bacterium
Lineage: Bacteria
Description: partial 16S ribosomal RNA
Rfam family: Bacterial small subunit ribosomal RNA
Source: RNAcentral